Molecule: ribosomal RNA, 254 nt
Filed under: uncultured bacterium
Lineage: Bacteria
Description: partial 16S ribosomal RNA
Rfam family: Bacterial small subunit ribosomal RNA
Source: RNAcentral
UACAGAGGGGGGCAAGCGUUAUUCGGAAUUAUUGGGCGUAAAGGGCGCGUAGGCGGCCUGGCAAGUGGAAGGUGAAAUCCCUCGGCUUAACCGAGGAACUGCCCUCCAAACUGCUUGGCUUGAGACCGGGAGAGGUGAGUGGAAUUCCCAGUGUAGCGGUGAAAUGCGUAGAUAUUGGGAGGAACACCAGUGGCGAAGGCGGCUCACUGGACCGGUACUGACGCUGAGGCGCGAAAGCGUGGGGAGCAAACGGG